RNAcentral lists this unclassified non-coding RNA (378 nucleotides) under uncultured Enterobacteriaceae bacterium. RNAcentral's name for it is "contains 16S-23S intergenic spacer region". The record is from RNAcentral. Lineage: Bacteria; Pseudomonadati; Pseudomonadota; Gammaproteobacteria; Enterobacterales; Enterobacteriaceae.
UCCGGUUUGUCACCGGCAGUCUCCUUUAAGUUCCCACCAUGACGUGCUGGCAACAAAGGAUAAGGGUUGCGCUCGUUGCGGGACUUAACCCAACAUUUCACAACACGAGCUGACGACAGCCAUGCAGCACCUGUCUCACAGUUCCUUUCGGCACAACUAUAUCUCUACAGCCUUCUGUGGAUGUCAAGAGUAGGUAAGGUUCUUCGCGUUGCAUCGAAUUAAACCACAUGCUCCACCGCUUGUGCGGGCCCCCGUCAAUUCAUUUGAGUUUUAACCUUGCGGCCGUACUCCCCAGGCGGUCGACUUAACGCGUUUGCUUCAAAAGCCACACCCUAAAGGCACAACCUCCAAGUCGACAUCGUUUACAGCGUGGACUAC